Molecule: long non-coding RNA, 322 nt
Filed under: Gallus gallus (chicken)
Lineage: Eukaryota; Metazoa; Chordata; Aves; Galliformes; Phasianidae
Description: long non-coding RNA NONGGAT006841
Source: RNAcentral
GGCCGGCUGUGGGUGAGACUGCCCUUCAGUGGUGUGGAGCUGGCAGGGGCGGAGAGAACCUUCUGGAAGUUUUGGCGGGAAAGCGAGGGGCAGAGAGAGCCUUCUGUUAAGCGCCGGGAAAGUGCACAGAGAACCUUCUGGAAGGUUUGCUGAGGGAAGGCAGAGAACAUUCUGGAAGUUUGCAGCGUGUGGGAGGGGCAGCUCCUCUGAGCUAUAGACUGCUGUCCAUCUGUGAAUUGAGGAGAGUCCUAAAGGAUGAGCUGGGUUGCAGAAAGAAUUAACAAUAUCUGACAAGGUAUGCGGAUUUUGAACACUAUGGUGC